Molecule: ribosomal RNA, 492 nt
Filed under: uncultured bacterium
Lineage: Bacteria
Description: partial 16S ribosomal RNA
Rfam family: Bacterial small subunit ribosomal RNA
Source: RNAcentral
AGUGAACGCUGGCGGUAGGCCUAACACAUGCAAGUCGAACGGCAGCACAGUAAGAGCUUGCUCUUACGGGUGGCGAGUGGCGGGCGGGUGAGGAAUACAUCGGAAUCUACUUUUUCGUGGGGGAUAACGUAGGGAAACUUACGCUAAUACCGCAUACGACCUACGGGUGAAAGCAGGGGAUCUUCGGACCUUGCGCGAUUGAAUGAGCCGAUGUCGGAUUAGCUAGUUGGCGGGGUAAAGGCCCACCAAGGCGACGAUCCGUAGCUGGUCUGAGAGGAUGAGCAGCCACACUGGAAGUGAGACACGGUCCAGAGUCCUAGGGGAGGGAGCAGUGGGGAAUAUUGGGCAAUGGGCGCAAGCCUGAUCCAGCCAUACCGCGUGGGUGAAGAAGGCCUUCGGGUUGUAAAGCCCUGUUGUUGGGAAAGAAAAGCAGCAGGUUAAUACCCCGCUGUUCUGACGGUACCCAAAGAAUAAGCACCGGCUAACUUCGUG